GCCAACGACCAUACCACGUAGGAACUACUGGUUCUCGUUCGAUCACCAAAGUCAAGCUACGUCGGGCACGGUUAGUACUUGGAUGGGUGACCGCUUGGGAACACCGUGUGUUGUUGAUU
Molecule: ribosomal RNA, 119 nt
Filed under: Apis mellifera (honey bee)
Lineage: Eukaryota; Metazoa; Arthropoda; Insecta; Hymenoptera; Apidae
Source: RNAcentral